GUUUUAGAUACUUACUAUUUUAUAAAAAAUGUGAGUUGCAAAACCCAUGUUAUAAAAUAUGAAUUGUUAAUGAUUUCAUCAAUUUAAAGUAUUCAUUAAUGAUAAUAUUCAUAAAUAUUUAGUAUAUUCAACAAAUAUAAUUUCUAUAUUUAACGUAGAAGAAAAGUAGAGACUGAGUUUGUUCCAGAUGAAUGUAACAUAAAGAACUCUUGUGUUCUCACUUAAAAUAAUGCAUGCACAUUCGAUAGAAAACGCUUCUAUGCAGAAUUCUUUCUAUACUGUCAUAUCGCAUCCAUUUACACGAUCAAUCUGUAUUCAUUUAAAAACAAUUAAUAGCAUUUAUAGAAAGCCUAAAACAAAUAUUGAAUUUUACAUUUUUUUAAUGAAGAUUAUAUAAAAAUUUCUUUUUAAACUGAAAGCUAUUUAAUUCUUGAUACAUUCUGAUAAAUUAAUUGAAUAAAAUUAUGGAUGAUACCUUUCAAUUUUAUAUGUAUCUUUUGGACAACCAGCUAAGGAUUUCAAAAGAUAUGUACGUUCAUUUUGUUUUCUUUCUGGACUAUUCUGAGGGAAAUUUAUAACACGUUGAAGUCCAAAUUCCCAUUCUUCUUCAGAACCCCACUUAAAUACUGGGCAAAUAAAUUCAUUGGCAACUCUGAAGUAAGAAACAGUAACAACAGUUAAUACAAUUUAAUCUCUACAAAAUGUAAUAUAACCAGUUAGCAAAAUUGUAAGUACUAAAUGAUAUGUAAGAGAGAAUAACAUUUAUAUACUGCAAUUGAUGUAAUAUUAGUAUUAGUAUUAUUUUAUAUACUGAAAUUUUGAUUCUCACACAUGCAUUAAAUUUUCUCAUUAAAUUAAAAUUUUUAUGUAAGUAACUUGCAGAGGUUUAUAAGUUUCUGCUUUGAUGCUAUUAGUAACAAUACAUUUCCACGUGUAUUACUGUAUAUUUAUAAUGGAAAUAAUUAUAAGCCUUAUAAAUAUAAAGGUAAGGGUGACAAAGUUACGGACGGAUUUCCUUUAUCCGGUUCCUUAUCAGUCAGCCACUUUUUGUACUGAUCCCUUGCUUCGUUAACGCAUGGUUCGUAUCCAGCACGACAAAGGAAAUUUUUCGCCAUUCCACGCAUAUGAGUUUUCCAAGACGGUUCAUUUGGUUCUACAGUUCUAGUGAGUUCUUCAUAUAAAGGUUUUAGCAAGGUACGUAUGUAUGCCUGAAAUAAUAAUAAUUUUACUACCUCAUAAGCUUUAUGAAUAUUUUAUGUUUAAAUUUUGUUUUGUGUAGGAAACAUAAAGAUGCAAUAAGGAAGAAUAAAUUUUAGCAAAUAAUAUUUGCGCAUUCUUUGAUCAAAAAGUAAAAAAUAAAGUAAUAUUGAAGAUUACUUAAUAUUGAAGAUUAAAUUUCGACUGCAAACUUAUGAUUUCUAAGAAAUAAAUACAUUUAUAAAAUUGUAAAUUUAUAAAAUCAAAGUCUUUUGAAUUGUAAAUUCAAUUUUACAUGAUAUGUGAUUAUAAUAGAAGAGAUUAUGAAAAUAAGUAUUUGUAUAUAAUAUAUAAUCGUGUUCUUAUUUUAAUAUACGUCAGUAUUAAUUUUCCAAAAGUAUUCCUGCAUAUUUUAAGUAAUGGUAAAACCAAAAAGUUUGAAACCAGUCAUUUUAGUAUAUCGGGUAUAGUAGUUGUGCCUAAAUAGCCGGAACUUUAUGUAGGAUAAAUUAAUGAAUAUUUUUCAUUUUUCACUUUUAACAAAUUAUAUAAAAUUAAUAUAGAAAUAUAUACAAUUAAAUAUACUUAAAAGAACAUAAACAAAUUAUCUAUAUUUCAGUUAAAUAACAAAAGUACCUCUGAAAUAUAUAUUUUAAAGAAUGAACGUAAACAAAAAAUAUUUACCUCAAAUUUGGAGUGUACAUGAGAUCCCUCGAUACGUCUACCAACGUGAUCGAUCAUCAUAAAGACUGGUUCCCAUACGACGUGACUCCUU
Molecule: long non-coding RNA, 1972 nt
Organism: Bombus terrestris (buff-tailed bumblebee)
Lineage: Eukaryota; Metazoa; Arthropoda; Insecta; Hymenoptera; Apidae
Exons: 3
Source: RefSeq, a predicted model, not a curated record